This 1158-nucleotide long non-coding RNA is filed under the name Anser brachyrhynchus (Pink-footed goose). RNAcentral describes it as "lncRNA (ENSABRG00000009995.1)". Lineage: Eukaryota; Metazoa; Chordata; Aves; Anseriformes; Anatidae. The record is from RNAcentral.
AGAUUAAAGAGUAAUGUCACAGAAGGGCUGCUAAAAUUGAAAAGAUCCAUCAGAUUAAUUACCGGGCUUAGAGGAGCUUGUCCGUUUAUUAGAAACAAAAGCCCUGGGCCACUUGCUAUUGAAAUUAUGAUAUCUUCUCCAACAUUUCCACUUGAUCUCGUACAAGCAAUCCGCAGGACGAAGUCAAACAGAGGCACGCGUGGCGCUGCCCGCAGCCAGCCAGCUCGUUAGCACCCACAUUCGUCUGCCUGCUCUGCAGCGCACGAGCCCUGGCUGCUUCCCCGUCCUCACAGAGACCGGCUGGUGCACGCACUGUUUGAAAUACUGCAUCAAUAUUUAUCAUAGCUUUUUGAGGAUAAGGAAUUUUUUAAUCUUAAAACCCCUGCCCUGGCGGGGAAGGAUAAAAUAAAUGCAUAAAUAAAAGAUCUAGGCAGUGAACCUUUUAACCCUGCAGCUCUAUUGAUUCAGGAGAGGAGAACUGGGAAGGAAGGCAAUAAAUAUUGGGGCUCCGGAUCCUAAAGCAGUGGUUCUGAAUUAAAAUCACCCGAGGUAGGAUCACCCUGCUCUUUGGAGUUCUCACCGUGCAAUUUUCCUUGUGUGGGGGUGGCAUGAGCGAUGUGCCAGUCCAACGCCACCGAAACAAAGGUGGAGAACAGCUACGAGAAGCAGAGAACCCCUCAAAAAUACAUUUCUGAUGAUAAAUGUCAAGGGUAUUGAAUUCACACCCGUAAGAAAGGUGGCAUUAAUUGGAGGUGCUGUACAAACACCUGCAGCAGUGGGGACAUCUCUGACAUGGGUGGCCAAGGAGAGGAACCGGCAGGAACUGACCACUGGCAUUUUGGAUUCAGGUGACUCCGGGAAUGGAAACUGACCCUUGGUGCCUGCAGCUCUGACAGCUGAGCACCGAGCGUGGGCCUGGCUUGCGAAUGCCGGGGGAGGAAUGCUCUGUAACGAGGUUCUCCCAGGAAAUGCACGGCUUCAGCUUUAUCACCUCCAGGAUUUGCAGCGCCUCGGUCUGAAAAUGUGUUGCCAUGUCUCCGGCCUCCGUGAUACAGCGGUCCUCCCAGCAGUAUCGUACAAGACCGGCUGCCAGCACCUGCAGCAGAUGACACGUCUUCACCUCGAACAGAAAUAAAUUGGACAAAAUCAUCCCCAGCU